GAUCCUGGCUUAGGAUGAACGCUGGCGGCGUGCCUAACACAUGCAAGUCGAACGAAGCACUGGAAACGGAGAUUCGUCGAAGUUUCUUGACUUAGUGGCGGACGGGUGAGUAAUGUAUGAGCAACCUGCCUUUCAGAGGGGGACAACAGUUGGAAACGACUGCUAAUACCGCAUGAUGUAGCUGGGAGGCAUCUCCCGGUUACCAAAGAUUUUAUCGCCGAAGGAUGGGCUCACGUCUGAUUAGCUGGUUGGUGGGGUAACGGCCUACCAAGGCUGCGAUCAGUAGCCGGACUGAGAGGUUGAACGGCCACAUUGGGACUGAGAUACGGCCCAGACUCCUACGGGAGGCAGCAGUGGGGAAUAUUGGGCAAUGGGCGACAAGCCUGACCCAGCAACGCCGCGUGAAGGAAGAAGGCCUUCGGGUUGUAAACUUCUUUUAUGAGGGACGAAGGACGUGACGGUACCUCAUGAAUAAGCCACGGCUAACUACGUGCCAGCCGCCGC
RNAcentral lists this ribosomal RNA (504 nucleotides) under uncultured bacterium. RNAcentral describes it as "bacterial SSU rRNA". It matches the Rfam family "Bacterial small subunit ribosomal RNA", at positions 15 to 518 of the family's 1533-position model. The record is from RNAcentral.